UGGCUCUCGCACCGAUGAAGAACGCAGCGAAAUGCGAUAUGUAAUGUGAAUUGCAGAAUUCAGUGAAUCAUCGAAUCUUUGAACGCACCUUGCACCCUUUGGUAUUCCGAAGGGUACACCCGCUUGAGUGUCGUUGUAAUCUCACUCCACCGACUAUUUGUUGAUGGAUGUGGACCUGGACUCUGUUGUGUUACUACAACUGGUCUGAAAUGCAUGAGUGCACCCUGCUAUUGCAGCGUUCUCAGUGUGAUAAACAUCUUCACUGGACCAAGUCCCUUGGGACAUGCAGCAUUGUGGGCUCUGUGCCGGCAAACUGUCUUUGGGCAAUUUUGACAAUUUGACCUCAGAUCGGGUGGGACUACCCGCUGA
This 369-nucleotide unclassified non-coding RNA is filed under the name uncultured fungus. RNAcentral describes it as "partial contains 5.8S ribosomal RNA and internal transcribed spacer 2". The stretch from base 1 to 133 matches the Rfam family "5.8S ribosomal RNA", at positions 22 to 154 of the family's 154-position model. The record is from RNAcentral. Lineage: Eukaryota; Fungi.